AACCUUACUUAUAUUAUUUUUUGUAUACCUCUGUUUAAGAAUAUACUUUUAGGUAAAUUUUCUAGAUAAAAUAGUAUUUAGAAUUUCAAGUCAAGGUGCAAUAAUAUAUAAGUUGAAUAAUGGAUUACAAUGAAUUUUAUUUAAAUGGAUUAUUAUUGAAAUAUGGUUAUGAAGGUGGAUUUAAUUGUAAUUUUAUAAAGAUUAUUAAAAUGAUUUAAAGCUCUAUAAUAUGUACACAUCGCCC
This 244-nucleotide ribosomal RNA is filed under the name Rhombodera basalis. RNAcentral describes it as "partial 12S ribosomal RNA". Lineage: Eukaryota; Metazoa; Arthropoda; Insecta; Mantodea; Mantidae. The record is from RNAcentral.